UAUUAGGUUGGUGCAAAAGUAAUUGCGGGUUUUGCCAUUACUCUUAGUGGUAAAAACCACAAUUACUUUUGCACCAA
This 77-nucleotide microRNA precursor is filed under the name Cebus imitator (Panamanian white-faced capuchin). RNAcentral's name for it is "miRNA (ENSCCAG00000031414.1)". Lineage: Eukaryota; Metazoa; Chordata; Mammalia; Primates; Cebidae. The record is from RNAcentral.